GGCCUCUCCAGUGACUGUGCUGGUCUCAGGGCCACUGAGGGGGGACACUGGGAACCUGUCCUCCCCCAGCCCAAGCUGGCCGUCUGGCAGGGGAGUUCUGGUGAGAACGUCCUACUCUCCUUCACCCUGUCCCACGGCUUCUUGGUGGAAAACCUGGAGUGCUGGCCAGCCCCAGUGCCAGCCAGGCCCUGGGUGCCAGGAAGGGAUGCCCAGCAUCUACCUGAGGACCGUACGAAGGGCCCCUCCCUGGCCAAAUGACCUGCCCAUUCUGCAUGCAGACUCUCUGAUUGGCCAACUUGCUGCCACCUGACUUGGGGCGUCCUCCUCCUGGCCACUUCCCAUGGCGGCCCUGCUGGUGCAUCAACACUGUUCUAAUGCCUUUGACCAGAAUGGCAAGGCGGCCUCCACAGGCACAGACCAAGGAGUCACACCAGUGCUCCAGCAGCCCCUCAUCUGCCCAGCGCCCGGCCGGUUCAGUACCCAGAGAUUCCUGGCGCUCAGCCUGGAUGCCCGCACCCCCAGCCUCCCAGCGGCCUCUCCUCCCUCAGCUCAGCCCUGCCGGGAGGGUGGCAUAAAGGAGCGCCGGGCGGCCGCCCACUCUCUCCAGUGGCUGCAGCUGGGAUGCAUCCUGCAGGGGCGGAGGGCAGCAGCCAUGGUGCAGAGAGCAGCCUCCAUUCCCGGCGGCCACGCAGAGAGGUGCCCAGAGUCUGCAAGUACUUCCAGCGUGGCCUCUGCUUCCAUGGAGACAGAUGCAGCGGCUGCCUGGGAGCACAGCCCCGCCGAGAAGCCUCCACUCGCGGCCGACCUUGUCCAGGAGCUCUCGGGCGCCCUUCAGAGCCUGGACCUGGCAGAGGGCUCGCACGACAGCGACAGCCGGGACGUGGUGUGCGGCAUCUGCAGGGAGAGAGUGUGGGACAAGCCCGCGGCCG
Molecule: long non-coding RNA, 929 nt
Filed under: Fukomys damarensis (Damara mole-rat)
Lineage: Eukaryota; Metazoa; Chordata; Mammalia; Rodentia; Bathyergidae
Description: lncRNA (ENSFDAG00000031366.1)
Source: RNAcentral